GCUGUCCACCUAGGCCAAAAGCAAUCCUGAGUCAUUGCUUGAAAUUGCCUCCACCUGUGAGCUUGGGUUAUGUUCCAGCAACUGAAAGAGGUGUUGAUUCAUUUCAGGCCUAGUUUGUCUAUGAUGAAGUUCAACCCACCACAGAGGGACUCAGGGGAACUCCACUGUGGGCUCCAGGUCUGUGAUUUAUGUUUUGCCUGUGCUUUUCUCUGCACUGUUGAGAGGGAGGUAGACAUCAGAUGUGUCUAGCUCAAAAGAUAAUGCACAGGACAGAACAAAGGUGGGCAAGAAGAUCUUGUAGGUGCAAACCAAACGCUGAUGAUGAAACAACCAGCAAAGUGAAGCAACUACAACAGCAACAGCAAUCCUCUGGAAUCAGGUCCAAAAGGCAGACCUUGGCAGUGGUAUCCCUGGAGAACACACAUCAGCAUCUAACCCUGUCUCAAAGGAAGAACCUGGACCUUCUAGAGCUGCUAACAUUGAGGAAAGCAGGAUGGGGGAUAGAGAAAAACAAAUUUCAUGUUACAUGGAUUGAGCUGCCAGAUCAAGUUUCUGCUGAAGAUACAGGCACUUGAAGAAAAACUGCAAUCUGAGAAAUGAAGGAGAACCAUGUGCAGAGGAUUUUGAGAGAUGUGGCUAUAAGGAGGUGGAUAAUAGGAAGAGGCGAACCAUUGGACAACCUUAAGAUUCUUCCUGCAGAUAGGUGUUAGAGUUGGAGUUUUGGCUGCUCAAACUGAAGCAGAAGAUCCUCCACCAAAAUUUCCUUCAAUAGGGGAAUCAUCUUGUGUAGAAGAUAUUAGAGUAAUGAUAGGAAGGAAGGACUGAAUGAGAAUGCGGAAUGAGCUCGGGGAAGUUUUAAGGGGAGAGGAGAUUCUUACACUAGGCCACAGUGCAAUAAAAAGAACCAAGAGUUUAACAGCAUACAUGGUGUACCUACCAAGUACUGGGCACAGUGUUAUUUACAUACUUGGGAACGAGAAGAACAGAUAGGAUCCUGUCGAUAUAAACUUACAAUAGUUGUCUCAUUGAAGAUGCUGCCAGAGUUUCCAUUAGCAAGCAGCUUUAAACAGCUUUCUAAAAUAAGAAAGGGAUAUGGGAUGUAAGAAGCAUGGUGGCAGUCACUGGAAAUGGCAAACAUGGCUAGAGCAAUAUAUGAGGUUCAUGCUGGUGUCAAUUUCAGCACUCAAGCCCUAGAAGCCUAGUAUUUUUUUUUUGCCUUUAGCACCUUGAUAUUAAAAAUAUUCUUGACUCUUCCUUUAAUCCUUUCUCUGAGUAUUCAUAUAGACAUCACUUAGGGCUAUGAGCUCAUAAAUGAAAUAGGAUCCAUGCCUUGAUGAAACUGCAUGGGAGGUAUCCAAGAAAAAUCUGCUCUAGGAAAUGAUUUGGUAAUUCAACAUGCUGGCACUCUUUCUUCUGAACCAGCUUGUGCCAGCUUUGGUGUCAGGGGCCACUGUGGAAAGGGCUGGCUUUCAACUGAGUUACAACAUGGAGUCAUAUUAAUCUUCCCUGGUCAUUAAAGGUCCAGCAGCCUUUUCUACCCAUUUAGAGACUUCACUUUAAUCAUUUAGCCAAAAUCCAAUUUAGGUAAUCCAACCCAGAAUUCUCCAGUAAUUUCACUUGGAUAAGCCAUAGCAUUUUUUUCUUAUCUCUGCCCCCCAAAACUGGCAUCAUGUUAUGUACUACUAAACAUGUUUCACCACAAGCUGGCUGAGGCAGCAGGAAGCACAGUAAUUGUGUUUUGCACUUACCAACACCUUCUAGAAGCCAAGUUUAUAAACCACUUGCCUAUUUGACAAGAAUGAAAAAGGAGGAUCUUUCAUUGCAUCCUUCUUUUAAAAUUUUUUUCUAUUUUUUAAUUUAUCUGACCGCACAGGGUCUUGGUUGCAGCAUGGGAUCUCUUAAUUGCAGCACCCUGAAUCUUCAAUGUUCAUUAUGGCAAGUGGAAUCUUUAGUUGGACUCUAGGAUUUAGUUACCUAAGAACUAGGGAUUGAACCUGGGCCCCUGCAUUGGGAGCUUGGAGUCUUAGCCACUGGAUCACCAGGGAAAUCCCCAUUCCACCCUUCUUUAUGUCCCAUCUUUGAAUUGUAUUUGUCCUAAAGAAUUCCACAGAUAAUGAGUGGGUUUAUAUUAAAGGCAGUUCAUAACAACAUCUUAAUUUCCUUUAGUUAAAACUAAUGUUUUAAAAUUUGGUCUUUCUGUUGCUAGAUGAGGAAAAUUAAGGCCAGACCAUAUUUAGAUCAGUUAUUGUUUGCUUUUUAGAGAUAUCUGUCUUGAAAACAAGUCUUGAAAAUUAAUAUUAAUUUCAAAAGCACUCUUCGUGAAGUAAACACAUUGACUUGUUUGUUUUCUUUUUAAUACAAUUAAAUCCAUAUUUAUGAUCAGUAUCCUUAGUCUCUGGCACCAUCCUGGGCCUUGUUGAGGACAGGCUGAAGAAGUUCAAGGUGCUAUGCUUGCCCCUAAAGGAUCUACACUCUCACUGGGGAGGCUAAACACACAUAAAAUGGUGACGCAGCAGACAGAAUAUGCUAAAACGCUGUGCGUAGAUGUGGUGGAGGAGUCACGC
Molecule: long non-coding RNA, 2564 nt
Organism: Bos taurus (domestic cattle)
Lineage: Eukaryota; Metazoa; Chordata; Mammalia; Artiodactyla; Bovidae
Source: Ensembl